RNAcentral lists this small RNA (28 nucleotides) under Bombyx mori (domestic silkworm). RNAcentral describes it as "ovarian small RNA-33605". Lineage: Eukaryota; Metazoa; Arthropoda; Insecta; Lepidoptera; Bombycidae. The record is from RNAcentral.
UGCAUUACAAUAAUGGUGCUCACUGCUU